UGGAGUCUUGUAUUUUUUUUCUGAGGUGUGUACUUCACUUUUAUGUUGUAUACACAAGUAUUUUCAGAUAAAUAAAAGCAAGAACAUUAGAGAGCAUGCAGGGCCCUGAAUUUGGAGAAUCUAGGCGUAUAUCUGUACAAUAUUAUUGAGGUAAUUUUGAAUUUCUGAAGCUUGGUCUGGGCUUAUGGUGCUUAGUUUUUCAGUGGGUUUUGCCGAGCAACUGAAAUUUCCAACUACUUCUAUUAGCAUUAUUGCACCUGAUCAUGGCUGAUUCUGCACUAUUCCCCUUCCUUGAUCUAUUCGUGACACAUCUAAAUUCAUUUGUGGAUCCUUACUCUGUAGUACGGGGACCCUGAGGUCCUUGGAGCCACACACGUUGCCACAUGUUAAUUAUCUUAUCGAUUGGCGUUAGUAGGAGGUAUCGAAUAUAGAUGGACUAUCUUCGUUAUUGAAUUGGCGUUAGUAAGAGGUAUUGAAUGUAGAUGGGCUAUCUUGGUUUUUGAAUGCUAGGUUGUCGGGCACUCGGGAUGAUGAUGUAUGGCCAGGGGUAGGCAAGCUCCCAAACUUGCACGAGUACCCUGACUUUUUUUUUGAGAGUACCCUCACUGGAACUUCUCAAAACUGUCUACUGUAUUAGUCUUGACGCCAAUGGUCUUGAUCUGCUUGAGUUUAUAGUAAUCAAACAUGUGUAUCCGACUAUUCGUGCUACUUGAUCCUUGCAGAAAAACAGAGAAGAAGAGGGGCUCUUGUAAGAAUCUUGUACUAACUUAUGGCUGUGAUCCUUGAGAAAAUGCGGCAGUAAGGACAAGCCAACAAAGAGGAUCUCUGCAAUGAAAGGUCAUGGAGCACCCAUAUUUUCAAUGAUGUAGACUAAGGCGCUGUGUUGGAGCUGUCUUCGUGACUAGCAAGAAGUGGAUAUUGCAGUUUGUGUUUGUCCUGAAGCAUAUUUUGUGCUUCCAGGGCAGGCAUUUUUGCCUCUGUUUUUCUAGCUGCCAUUUAGUUUGCGCCAGUAACCUAAUAUUGUGAUGGAUAAUAUCUAUGGAGUUGUGCAUAAUAAUUCUGGAGUGCCACUUCUUUUUUGUAGCUAGCAUGUAGCCCAUUAAAUUCCAGCCUAGUUCGUAGCAGGUUUGAGUAGAUAUGUAACUCACUGUAGAACGGUAUUCACGCUAAGAUGCCUGUUUAGAAUGGAAAAGAUGGCUAUUUUGUUGCAGGUUUGAGCAAACUAAUUGUAGCCUAUUAUCCCCAUUAGGGCUGUAAGCUGUAGGAAGAUGAGGACUUCAAUCUUAAUAAUGGCAAUCUGGUUCAAGAAUAAGACAGUACUUCAAUCUUAAUAAUGGUGGUACAUGGUGGUUUUAUGAGAUGUUCGUGUACAUUCUGGUGAUGGCCUAAUGUUACCUGAACAUCAUUUGUGCAUUUGAAAAGUUCAUCCAUUAAACUUACCAAGGAAAUAACUUGCAGUCCCUCAGCCUACUUUCUAAUUUGAUUUAUGGUAAGUCGAGUUAUCUAUAUUAUUAAACACAAUUUUCCUUUUCACAGGUUGGUUGAUACAUGUAUGCACAUUUUUCAGAGCAACGUGCAGUGGAAGAAGCAGCCUGUGAACUGAAAUAGUUUGCAUUGGAAACAAGUGCUGUGAGUAUGUUAUCAUUUGAUUACACAUAAUCUGUACAACCCCUGAAGUAUUUUCCAUAGUUCUCUUUGGAAUCCUUUUCUUUUUUGAUGAAACACAAGUGCCCCAAAACUGAU
Molecule: long non-coding RNA, 1743 nt
Filed under: Triticum aestivum (bread wheat)
Lineage: Eukaryota; Viridiplantae; Streptophyta; Magnoliopsida; Poales; Poaceae
Description: long non-coding RNA (TAES_LNC011096)
Source: RNAcentral